This 253-nucleotide ribosomal RNA is filed under the name uncultured bacterium. RNAcentral's name for it is "partial 16S ribosomal RNA". It matches the Rfam family "Bacterial small subunit ribosomal RNA", at positions 524 to 776 of the family's 1533-position model. The record is from RNAcentral.
UACGUAGGUGGCAAGCGUUGUCCGGAUUUACUGGGCGUAAAGAGCGCGCAGGCGGUCGUUCAAGUCGCGUGUGAAAGCCCCCGGCUCAACUGGGGAGGGUCACGCGAUACUGAUCGACUCGAAGGCAGGAGAGGGUAGUGGAAUUCCCGGUGUAGUGGUGAAAUGCGUAGAUAUCGGGAGGAACACCAGUGGCGAAGGCGACUACCUGGACAACACCUGACACUGAGGCACGAAAGCUAGGGGAGCAAACAGG